RNAcentral lists this ribosomal RNA (2027 nucleotides) under human gut metagenome. Its description in RNAcentral is "bacterial LSU rRNA". It matches the Rfam family "Bacterial large subunit ribosomal RNA", at positions 912 to 2925 of the family's 2925-position model. The record is from RNAcentral.
GAUCGGGCUAGGGGCCAUAAAGGUUACCGAACCCUGUCAAACUCCGAAUGGUUAUACUGUAGAGCUUGGGAGUCAGACUACGAGUGAUAAGAUCCGUGGUCAAAAGGGAAACAGCCCAGACCACCAGCUAAGGUCCCCAAUGUCGUACUAAGUGGAAAAGGAUGUGGGGUCUCUAAAACAACCAGGAUGUUGGCUUAGAAGCAGCCACCAUUUAAAGAGUGCGUAAUAGCUCACUGGUCGAGAGACCCUGCGCCGAAGAUUACCGGGGCUAAAGUACGAAACCGAAGCUGUGGCUACGACGUAAGUCGUGGGGUAGGGGAGCGUUCUGUGAGGGCUGAAGUCGUUCUGUAAGGAACGGUGGACUUCACAGAAGUGAGAAUGUUGGUAUGAGUAGCGAAAAGAAUGGUGAGAAUCCAUUCCACCGAAAGCAUAAGGAUUCCUGGGCAACGAUCGUCGUCCCAGGGUAAGUCGGGACCUAAUCCGAGGCAUGGAGCGUAGGAGAUGGACAACUGGCAGAUAUUCCAGUACCGGUAAUGAUUGUUUGAGCGAUGGAGUGACACAGGAGGGCAGGCAGGCAGGAGAUUGGUUGUUCCUGUACAAGCGUGUAGGAUGGGUUGCAGGCAAAUCCGCAACCUGUGAGUCUGAGGCGUGAUGUGGAGGUUCCGGAAACGGAACUGAAGCUGCUGACCCCACACUGUCGAGAAAAGCUUCUAGUUAGAGAAUUACCGCCCGUACCGUAAACCGACACAGGUAUGCGGGGAGAGAAUCCUAAGGUGCGCGGGAGAACCCUCGUUAAGGAACUCGGCAAAAUGUACCCGUAACUUCGGGAUAAGGGUAGCCGCUGUUGUGAAGUCUGAACAGACGGAGCAUGAGGCGGUCGCAGAGAAGAGGCCCAAGCGACUGUUUACCACAAACACAGGUGCCUGCUAAAGAGAAAUCUGACGUAUAGGUGCUGACACCUGCCCAGUGCCGGAAGGUUAAGGAAGGAUGUCCGGAGCAAUCCAAAGCAUUCGACCGAAGCCCCGGUGAACGGCGGCCGUAACUAUAACGGUCCUAAGGUAGCGAAAUUCCUUGUCGGGUAAGUUCCGACCCGCACGAAAGGUGUAACGAUUUGGGCACUGUCUCAACGAGGGACCCGGUGAAAUUGAAGUACCUGUGAAGAUGCAGGUUACCCGCGACUGGACAGAAAGACCCCAUGGAGCUUUACUGUAACCUGACAUUGGGUUCUGAUACAUCACGUACAGGAUAGGUGGGAGGCAUGGAAGCGAGGACGCUAGUCUUCGUGGAGCCGCCGUUGGGAUACCACCCUUGAUGUAUCGGAAUUCUAACCGUAGGAGUAACGAAACUCGGGACAGUGUCAGGCGGGCAGUUUGACUGGGGCGGUCGCCUCCCAAAGAGUAACGGAGGCGCCCAAAGGUUCCCUCAGCGCGGCCGGAAAUCGCGCGAAGAGUGUAAAGGCAGAAGGGAGCUUGACUGAGAGCCAAACACGGCGAUCAGGUACGAAAGUAGGGCUUAGUGAUCCGGUGGCAUCCAAGUGGAAGGGCCAUCGCUCAACGGAUAAAAGCUACCCUGGGGAUAACAGGCUAAUCUCUCCCAAGAGUCCAUAUCGACGGGGAGGUUUGGCACCUCGAUGUCGGCUCAUCACAUCCUGGGGCUGAAGUCGGUCCCAAGGGUUGGGCUGUUCGCCCAUUAAAGUGGUACGUGAGCUGGGUUCAGAACGUCGUGAGACAGUUCGGUCCCUAUCCAUCGCGGGCGCAAGAGAUUUGAAGGGGGCUGCUCCUAGUACGAGAGGACCGGAGUGGACGAACCAAUGGUGUGCCAAUUAUCUCGCCAGAGGUAUAGUUGGGUAGCUACGUUCGGAAAGGAUAAACGCUGAAAGCAUCUAAGCGUGAAACCAGCCUUAAGAUGAGAUCUCUCAUAGAGUAAUCUAGUAAGACACCUUGGAGAAGACGAGGUUGAUAGGUCGGGAGUGUAAGUACAGUAAUGUAUUCAGCGGACCGAUACUAAUAUGUCGAGGGCUUGACUUA